UAAGGGAUAUUGGUCAAUGGGCGGGAGCCUGAACCAGCCAUGCCGCGUGAGGGACGAAGGACGUGACGGUACCUCAUGAAUAAGCCACGGCUAACUACGUGCCAGCAGCCGCGGUAAUACGUAGGUGGCAAGCGUUAUCCGGAUUUACUGGGUGUAAAGGGCGCGUAGGCGGGGAUGCAAGUCAGAUGUGAAAUCUAUGGGCUUAACUCAUAAACUGCAUUUGAAACUGUAUCUCUUGAGUGCUGGAGAGGUAGAUGGAAUUCCUUGUGUAGCGGUGAAAUGCGUAGAUAUAAGGAAGAACACCAGUGCGAAGGCGAUCUACUGGACAGUAACUGACGCUGAGGCGCGAAAGCGUGGGGAGCAAACAGGAUUAGAUACCCUGGUAGU
This 387-nucleotide ribosomal RNA is filed under the name uncultured Oscillospiraceae bacterium. RNAcentral describes it as "bacterial SSU rRNA". It matches the Rfam family "Bacterial small subunit ribosomal RNA", at positions 355 to 794 of the family's 1533-position model. Lineage: Bacteria; Bacillati; Bacillota; Clostridia; Eubacteriales; Oscillospiraceae. The record is from RNAcentral.